Molecule: ribosomal RNA, 534 nt
Filed under: Termitomyces striatus
Lineage: Eukaryota; Fungi; Basidiomycota; Agaricomycetes; Agaricales; Lyophyllaceae
Description: partial large subunit ribosomal RNA
Rfam family: Eukaryotic large subunit ribosomal RNA
Source: RNAcentral
GGAGGAAAAGAAACUAACAAGGAUUCCCCUAGUAACUGCGAGUGAAGCGGGAAAAGCUCAAAUUUAAAAUCUGGUAGCUUCGCCGCCCGAGUUGUAAUCUAGAGAAGCAUUAUCAGCGCUGCGGCGUGUACAAGUGUCCUGGAAUGGACCAUCAUAGAGGGUGACAAUCCCGUCUUUGACACGGCUCCUAGUGCUAUUGAUGUGCUCUCAACGAGUCGAGUUGUUUGGGAAUGCAGCUCUAAAUGGGUGGUAAGUUCCAUCUAAAGCUAAAUAUUGGCGAGAGACCGAUAGCGAACAAGUACCGUGAGGGAAAGAUGAAAAGAACUUUGGAAAGAGAGUUAAACAGUACGUGAAAUUGCUGAAAGGGAAACGCUUGAAGUCGGUCGCGUUGGCUGGGAAUCAACCUUGCUUCUUGCUUGGCUUAUUUCCCAGCUGACGGGCCAGCAUCAGUUUUGACCGGUGGAUAAAGGCCAAGGGAAUGUGGCACCUCUGGGUGUGUUAUAGCCCUCGGUCAUAUACAUCGGUUGGGACUGA